UAAGGGCGCACGGUGGAUGCCUUGGCACUAGGAGCCGAAGAAGGACGGGACUAACACCGAUAUGC
RNAcentral lists this ribosomal RNA (65 nucleotides) under Oceanobacillus picturae. RNAcentral's name for it is "partial 23S ribosomal RNA". The record is from RNAcentral. Lineage: Bacteria; Bacillati; Bacillota; Bacilli; Caryophanales; Bacillaceae.